RNAcentral lists this ribosomal RNA (235 nucleotides) under uncultured beta proteobacterium. Its description in RNAcentral is "partial 16S ribosomal RNA". It matches the Rfam family "Bacterial small subunit ribosomal RNA", at positions 584 to 818 of the family's 1533-position model. The record is from RNAcentral. Lineage: Bacteria; Pseudomonadati; Pseudomonadota; Betaproteobacteria.
UAAGUCAGAUGUGAAAUCCCCGGGCUCAACCUGGGAAUGGCAUUUGAGACUGCGAGGCUAGAGUGUGUCAGAGGGGGGUAGAAUUCCACGUGUAGCAGUGAAAUGCGUAGAUAUGUGGAGGAAUACCGAUGGCGAAGGCAGCCCCCUGGGAUAACACUGACGCUCAUGCACGAAAGCGUGGGGAGCAAACAGGAUUAGAUACCCUGGUAGUCCACGCCCUAAACGAUGUCUACUA